ACCUUCGGCAGCAGAUAUACUAUAAAAUUGGAAUGAUAUAGAGAAGAUUAGCUUGGCCCCUGUCCGAGGAUGACAUGCAAAUUCAUGAAACAUAAAAUCAUGAGCUUUUUUU
Small nuclear RNA from Suncus etruscus (white-toothed pygmy shrew), 112 nucleotides. NCBI's taxonomy places the organism in Eukaryota, Metazoa, Chordata, Mammalia, Eulipotyphla, Soricidae. The record is from RefSeq and is a predicted model, not a curated record.